UGUGUCAUAAUCUAGAUGGCCACUAUCUUUACACUGAAGCCAACGGCGCGUCACUUGGAGAUACAGCUCGGCUCAUCAGCUCCGAAUGUUCUGCCGCUGGUCCUCAGUGUCUGCACUUCUGGUACCAUAUGUACGGCUCGGCUGAAACGAUGGGCCUCCAUGUCUAUUUGCUCCAAGACAAAAAGGCUCAAGCUAUUAGUUGGACCAGGAAUAAUCAAGGGAAUAUGUGGCGUCUGGCCCAAGUUGACUUCACCACAACUGGAUCUUUUCAGAUCAUUUUUGAGGGUCGACGAGGUUCUAAUGAGCAGUCAGAUGUGGCCAUAGAUGACAUUUCCCUUUUCAGUGGGCGCUGUUCAGACCUGACUGAACCUACCACCCCUGCAUCCAUGACAACUCCUUCAGUUACAACUGAAGGUUUUGAACCUCCGGCAGGAAACAUAUCAACGACACAACCACCAACAUCUACAGUAAAAACCACCACAAUUGAACCUCAGCCAACCGUCACAGCUCGCCCAUUAUCAACCGACCACCCAGUC
This is a long non-coding RNA of Hippocampus comes (tiger tail seahorse), 536 nucleotides long. RefSeq lists it as uncharacterized. Lineage: Eukaryota; Metazoa; Chordata; Actinopteri; Syngnathiformes; Syngnathidae. The record is from RefSeq and is a predicted model, not a curated record. The transcript has 3 exons.